GUUCACUUAUUUUUGUCACACAUAUUGCAGAGCUUACUGCUGUCUGACCUUCUUACAAGAAUAAAAAAAAUCAGAAGAAUCUGUCUCUGAGCGAGGCAUUUAAAAUUUAUCACGAUAAUUUCUGGUAUUUAUUGCGAUAACUAUAUCAAUGAUGAUAAUUCAGGGAAUCUUAUGCAUCCACUAAGAGACAAAAAAAAAAAAUUCUGUUUCUUUAUAGCAGGGUUCCUCAAUUAGUAUUCGCCAAGGGCUGAAUUCUGCCAACAAUACCAAGCCAAGGGCCACUGAUCUAAUAUAUAUAUAAAUUAGUAUUAUUACAAAUAUUAUAUUAUAGUUGCUUUUGUUAAAAUAAUGAAAAUAUGGUCACAAGAUAAAUAUUCAAGAAAAAUUUCCCAUUAGUUUAUUCAAAUUAUUAUGAACAUUUUUGCAUUUAGAUACAGAAGAGCUUUGCCUGUUGAAUAUUAAAAACAAAAAAUCUGGAUCUCCAUGUCUUCCAUGCAAAUCAACUGUUCCUGCUCAUCUCCAGAGUGGAUCUCUUCUCUUCACUUUCCCUAAUUGCAGAUUCGCACUGGAUGCGACUAAGCAUUGCAAAUCAUUUGAACUUUGUGUCAGCACGUCAUAAAUAGAACGAUUCAGCAGUUUUCUGUCUGGGAUUUGUCGCACCGCAUCCAGUGUAGACGGCUUCACUGAUUAUAAUAAGUUCUAUUGUAUUUUGUUGCGCUGCUCGCGUCCAGUGUAGACAGCCCGAUCUCACGGCAAUUCGUACAUAUUUUACGAGGUGGCUACUUCGUACGAAUUCAUACGACCACACUCAAAAAUUUGGCAAAAAUCGUACAUAUUUUAUGAGUUGCACAAUUCAUAUGAAUUUGUACGAAAGACCUACACCUAACCCCGCCCCUAAACCUACCCGUCACUGGGGUCUAGACAAAUCGUAUAAAAUCGUACGAGUGAGGUCGUGAGAUAGCAUUGGUGUAGACACAAUAUAAGUUAAUGUCGCUUUCUGAUGCUGCAUUUGAAUUUUAAUGCCACAUUAUUUUAAAUUAGUGCGGGCCAAACAUUUUUCUCUCGCGGCUGCCUAUUGAGGAAUCCUGCUUUAUAGAAAAGUAUUAUCUUUCCUAUUUUUUUUAUCCUACCCAAAGGUGUACCCAGGGUGUUGGGAGCAUUACUGAGUACACAUGUAAUUAGAGGUCGACAGAUGUAUUGGUUUUGCCAAUUUUAUAUAUAUAUAUGUAUAGGCUAUAUACACAUUUUUGAGGGUAAUUUUAUAACUACCUUAUUAAAUGUAUCUUUGUUGUUUUUUGUUUCAGAUUUAACCAGUUACUUCAGUUGAUCACAAUACUAUAGUCUGUUACCAAUCAAAUUUUUUUCAACAUCAACAAAAGCCAUUUUUACACUGCAAAGUAAAGUAGCUGCAUCUAACAUGGCAUUUAUGUUUAUUUACACUGACUGUUUAGGUCUGCUCAUGUACACGUAUUUACACAGAAAUUGCGUAAUGUAUAAUGUACAAAAAUGCACUGACCAAUAAAAAAUAAUAUUUUGUAUUCAUCUGUCAUAAGCAGCCAAAACAUGUGACAGAGCAAAGAAACUCAAAAAUGUGGAAGGUGUGCAGAAGCAGCAAAGCUGAAAUGCUGUAAUUGUGGAGGUGAACAUAGUUCAGCAUACUGAGGAUGUUUAGUCAGUAAGAAAGCAGAAGUUCACAAAGUGACAACAUCUCAAGGGAUCUCAUACGCAGAAGCAGUGAAAAGAGUAUGGGUUCAGUCAAAAAGACCAAAAGAGAAGGAAACACAAGGUAUCACAAAGAGUGCAUGUGAUGCUUGUGCCAAGAUAAAGGAAGAUAGCAGGCAAAAAAGAUUUUAUCUUGUUUAUUGUAGAUAUGAUCAACUGUACAGCGCAAACUGAGAAGAAAACUGAGAAAAUCAAGAUAAUAGUGAGAUCAGCAGAAAAAUAUCUUGGAAUUAAAGGUCUGGGAAGUAUGUUGGGAGGAGGAACUUCUAGUUCUCAAAUAUGGGAUGCAGUAGAUUAAUUAACCCUCUGGGCCUCUUCGGCCAUUUUUGACCAAAAAAAAAAAUAAUAUAUAUAUAUAUUUUGAAAUUUUUAAAUUCAUGGCUUCAUCGGAAUGAGAUGACACUUGGUGAUGUUUGUCACAUUAGCUAUGUGAACACACACACAAAAAUCAUGGAAAUGAUUCGGAUAUGUCAAAAAAAAACAAAAAAAAAAACUUGGCUCCUUUGUGGUCAAAAAUGACAAAUAUAGGAAAUGAAUGGGAAAUGCGAAAAAAUAAUGGCUGUAUGAAAUGGCUGUAUUUUUAUCUUGCAUACACAUCUAGUUAUUUUUUUAUGUAUUUAGCUAAUGAAGAUACACUGAAUAAAGCUAUAUUAUUAA
Molecule: long non-coding RNA, 2379 nt
Organism: Cyprinus carpio carpio
Lineage: Eukaryota; Metazoa; Chordata; Actinopteri; Cypriniformes; Cyprinidae
Source: Ensembl